This 253-nucleotide ribosomal RNA is filed under the name uncultured bacterium. RNAcentral describes it as "partial 16S ribosomal RNA". It matches the Rfam family "Bacterial small subunit ribosomal RNA", at positions 524 to 776 of the family's 1533-position model. The record is from RNAcentral.
UACGUAAGGUCCAAGCGUUAUCCGGAAUUAUUGGGCGUAAAGCGUCCGCAGGUGGUUUGUUAAGUUGGUUAUGAAAUACUGAAGCUCAACUUCAGUGCUGUAAUCAAAACUGGCAAACUAGAGGAGUGGAGAGGUCUGUGGAAUUCUACAAGUAGGGGUAAAAUCCGUAGAUAUGUAGAGGAACACCAAAAGCGAAGGCAGCAGACUGGACAUUUCCUGACACUCAUGGACGAAAGCGUGGGGAGCGAAAGGG